This is a long non-coding RNA of Cyprinodon tularosa, 514 nucleotides long. RefSeq lists it as uncharacterized. Lineage: Eukaryota; Metazoa; Chordata; Actinopteri; Cyprinodontiformes; Cyprinodontidae. The record is from RefSeq and is a predicted model, not a curated record. The transcript has 3 exons.
AUUCCAGUCAGCCACAACCUGGACACUCCCACCACAAGUGAGAUGAGUCCUCCUGCCAAGAGGAGACAUGUGCAGCCUGCAGUGGAGGUUCUCCAGUGAAUCCAAAAAGAAGGAACCUGUGAGCUGUCCUGCAGUCAUCAAAAGCUACAAUUCCAACAUGGGGGGGAUUGACAAGAGCGACAUGUUGGUGCACCUGUACCGCACCCCCAUGAAGUCCAAGAGGAAGAAGCUCUGACAGUCUGAGAGCUGCCUUUGAUGUUCCCAAGCCAGUCCGAGGACAUCGCUGCUCCAACCCCACUGAGGCUGUGCGUUUCGACCACUCCGUGUUCCACGUUCCUGUCUACACUCAUCGCCAAACAUGCAAGUACUGCAGCAGGAAAGACAACAUUGCAAGGUCCAAUGUUUUCUGCGGGGUUUGCAAGGUCCAUCUCUGCCUAAAUGCAACACGCAACUGCUUUGCUGAGUACCACAACCCUAAAUAAAGAUAGUCAAUAGAUAUUUAGAAGGCAGUAAG